GGGCGUUUCUCUGUGAUGCACCCAGGAAUUGGGCUCCCUCCUCUCUGGUUCUGGGCGUGUCACCCUAGAACCCCC
Molecule: non-coding RNA, 75 nt
Organism: Myotis brandtii (Brandt's bat)
Lineage: Eukaryota; Metazoa; Chordata; Mammalia; Chiroptera; Vespertilionidae
Source: Rfam